GUCAUAGCUCAGUGGUAGAGCAUUUGCUUUGCAUGCAGAAUGCCCAAGGUUCAAUCUCUGGCAUCUCCC
Podarcis lilfordi (Lilford's wall lizard) is the source of this 69-nucleotide non-coding RNA. The record is from the annotation of a GenBank genome assembly. Lineage: Eukaryota; Metazoa; Chordata; Lepidosauria; Squamata; Lacertidae.